AGUGAACGCUGGCGGUAGGCCUAACACAUGCAAGUCGAACGCCAGCACAGUAAGAGCUUGCUCUUACGGGUGGCGAGUGGCGGACGGGUGAGGAAUACAUCGGAAUCUACUUUUUCGUGGGGGAUAACGUAGGGAAACUUACGCUAAUACCGCAUACGACCUACGGGUGAAAGCAGGGGAUCUUCGGACCUUGCGCGAUUGAAUGAGCCGAUGUCGGAUUAGCUAGUUGGCGGGGUAAAGGCCCACCAAGGCGACGAUCCGUAGCUGGUCUGAGAGGAUGAUCAGCCACACUGGAACUGAGACACGGUCCAGACUCCUACGGGAGGCAGCAGUGGGGAAUAUUGGACAAUGGGCGCAAGCCUGAUCCAGCCAUACCGCGUGGGUGAAGAAGGCCUUCGGGUUGUAAAGCCCUUUUGUUGGGAAAGAAAAGCAGCAGGUUAAUACCCCGCUGUUCUGACGGUACCCAAAGAAUAAGCACCGGCUAACUUCGUG
This 492-nucleotide ribosomal RNA is filed under the name uncultured bacterium. RNAcentral describes it as "partial 16S ribosomal RNA". It matches the Rfam family "Bacterial small subunit ribosomal RNA", at positions 29 to 507 of the family's 1533-position model. The record is from RNAcentral.